This 467-nucleotide ribosomal RNA is filed under the name uncultured bacterium. RNAcentral describes it as "partial 16S ribosomal RNA". It matches the Rfam family "Bacterial small subunit ribosomal RNA", at positions 28 to 506 of the family's 1533-position model. The record is from RNAcentral.
GACGAACGCUGGCGGCGUGCUUAACACAUGCAAGUCGAACGGAAAGGCCCUGCUUUUGUGGGGUGCUCGAGUGGCGAACGGGUGAGUAACACGUGAGUAACCUGCCCUUGACUUUGGGAUAACUUCAGGAAACUGGGGCUAAUACCGGAUAGGAGCUCCUGCUGCAUGGUGGGGGUUGGAAAGUUUCGGCGGUUGGGGAUGGACUCGCGGCUUAUCAGCUUGUUGGUGGGGUAGUGGCUUACCAAGGCUUUGACGGGUAGCCGGCCGGAGAGGGUGACCGGCCCCAUUGGGCCGGGGUUCCGGCCCGGACCCCUCCGGGGGGCAAGGGGGGGGAAUUUUGCACAAGGGGCGGAACCCUGAGGCAGCACCCCCGCGUGCGGGAGGACGGCUUUGGGUUUGUAACCCGUUUUCGCCUGGGACGAAGCGGGGGUGCCGGUAAUGGGGAAAGAAGCCCCGGCUACCUACGU